RNAcentral lists this ribosomal RNA (911 nucleotides) under uncultured archaeon. RNAcentral's name for it is "bacterial SSU rRNA". It matches the Rfam family "Archaeal small subunit ribosomal RNA", at positions 1 to 921 of the family's 1478-position model. The record is from RNAcentral.
UUCCGGUUGAUCCUGGCAGAGGUUACUGCUAUCGAGGUUCGACUAAGCCAUGCGAGUCGAAUGUAGCAAUACAUGGCGUACUGCUCAGUAACACGUGGACAACCUACCNUUGGGGACGGGGAUAAACCCCGGGAAAUGGGUAUAAUACCCGAUAGUUUUGGAUGCUGGAAUGCCCCCAGACGAAAGUCCGGCACAAAGGAUGGUUUGCGGCUAUCAGGUAUAGUGGGUGUAGCGUACCUAACUAAGCCUAGACGGNUACGGGUUUGUGAGAGCAAGAGCCCGGAGAUGGAUUCUGAGACANGAAUCCAGGCCCUACGGGGUGCAGCAGGCGCGAAAACUUUACAAUGCCGGCAACGGCGAUAAGGGAACCUCGAGUGCCAGGUUACAAAUCUGGCUGUCGCGGUGCCUAAAAAGCACUGCAUAGCAAGGGCCGGGCAAGACCGGUGCCAGCCGCCGCGGUAACACCGGCGGCUCGAGUGGUAACCGUUAUUAUUGGGUCUAAAGGGUCUGUAGCCGGCCGGAUAAGUCUCUUGGGAAAUCCGGCAGCUCAACUGUCGGGCUUUCAGGAGAUACUGUCUGGCUCGAGGCCGGGAGAGGUGAGAGGUACUUCAGGGGUAGGGGUGAAAUCUUGUAAUCCUUGAAGGACCACCAGUGGCGAAGGCGUCUCACCAGAACGGACCUGACGGCAAGGGANGAAAGCUAGGGGCACGAACCGGAUUAGAUACCCGGGUAGUCCUAGCCGUAAACGAUACUCGCUAGGUGUCGGCCACGGUGCGACCGUGGUCGGUGCCGCAGGGAAGCCGUUAAGCUAGCCGCCUGGGGAGUACGGCCGCAAGGCUGAAACUUAAAGGAAUUGGCGGGGGAGCACCACCAUGGCGUGAAGCCUGCGGUUUAAUUGGAGUCAACGCCGG